GUAUACGGCAAGAAGGUACCGUCUUGAAGCAGAGAGAGAGAGAGAUGCCCUCCCCAGACAGUGAACCUGCUGGUGCCUUGACCUUGGACUUCCUAGCCUCCAAAACUACAUUCCCAAACCUGAUGAAUAUGCAUGGCUAUUCAUGGAGACAGACCAUUGAAGGCUUAAAUGACAAUGUAUUCUUCCUUUCUACAAAAUCUCAUGGGCAUUUGUUAACACCUGAAUACAUCUGACAGAAACGUGCUAAAACGGAUCAAUUUGUAUCUAUUUGAAAAAGUUCUCACUAAUUAAGAUUGUUGUAUUUUCAUGAAAUAUUAGGUAAACACUACAACUCACACUCUUAUUCUCUCUGGUAAUAAUAUGAUAUUUUGAAAAUAUAAUUAAAUUUAGUUAUCUUGAAAA
Pan troglodytes (chimpanzee) is the source of this 402-nucleotide long non-coding RNA. RefSeq lists it as uncharacterized. The record is from RefSeq and is a predicted model, not a curated record. The transcript is spliced from 3 exons. Lineage: Eukaryota; Metazoa; Chordata; Mammalia; Primates; Hominidae.